This 404-nucleotide ribosomal RNA is filed under the name Bacillota bacterium. RNAcentral describes it as "Firmicutes bacterium partial 16S ribosomal RNA". It matches the Rfam family "Bacterial small subunit ribosomal RNA", at positions 355 to 776 of the family's 1533-position model. The record is from RNAcentral. Lineage: Bacteria; Bacillati; Bacillota.
UGGGGAAUCUUAGACAAUGGGGGAAACCCUGAUCUAGCCAUGCCGCGUGAGUGAUGAAGGCCUUAGGGUUGUAAAGCUCUUUCAGCUGGGAAGAUAAUGACGGUACCAGCAGAAGAAGCCCCGGCUAACUCCGUGCCAGCAGCCGCGGUAAUACGGAGGGGGCUAGCGUUGUUCGGAAUUACUGGGCGUAAAGCGCACGUAGGCGGACUGGAAAGUUGGAGGUGAAAUCCUGGGGCUCAACCCCAGAACUGCCUUCAAAACUAUCAGUCUGGAGUUCGAGAGAGGUGAGUGGAAUUCCGAGUGUAAAGGUGAAAUUCGUAGAUAUUCGGAGGAACACCAGUGGCGAAGGCGGCUCACUGGCUCGAUACUGACGCUGAGGUGCGAAAGCGUGGGGAGCAAACAGG